UCCUUGAUGGUCUAGUAGUUAGGACUCUACACUUUCACUGCUGAGGGCCCAGGUUCAAUCCCUGGUCAAGGAA
Non-coding RNA from Bos taurus (domestic cattle), 73 nucleotides. NCBI's taxonomy places the organism in Eukaryota, Metazoa, Chordata, Mammalia, Artiodactyla, Bovidae. The record is from Rfam.